UACGUAGGGGGCAAGCGUUGUCCGGAAUUAUUGGGCGUAAAGGGUGCGUAGGCGGCCCAUCAAGUUGGAUGUGAAAUCCCCGUGCUUAACAUGGGAAUUGCAUUCAAAACUGAAGGGCUUGAGUGUGGAAGAGGUAAGUGGAAUUCCCAGUGUAGCGGUGAAAUGCGUAGAUAUUGGGAGGAACACCAGUGGCGAAGGCGACUUACUGGGCCACAACUGACGCUGAGGCACGAAAGCGUGGGGAGCAAACAGG
This 253-nucleotide ribosomal RNA is filed under the name uncultured bacterium. Its description in RNAcentral is "partial 16S ribosomal RNA". It matches the Rfam family "Bacterial small subunit ribosomal RNA", at positions 524 to 776 of the family's 1533-position model. The record is from RNAcentral.